GGUGAAAAGCACCCCGGAAGGGGAGUGAAAUAGAACCUGAAACCGUGUGCUUACAAGUAGUCAGAGCCCGUUAAUGGGUGAUGGCGUGCCUUUUGUAGAAUGAACCGGCGAGUUACGAUUUGAUGCAAGGUUAAGCAGUAAAUGUGGAGCCGUAGCGAAAGCGAGUCUGAAUAGGGCGUUUAGUAUUUGGUCGUAGACCCGAAACCAGGUGAUCUACCCUUGGUCAGGUUGAAGUUCAGGUAACACUGAAUGGAGGACCGAACCGACUUACGUUGAAAAGUGAGCGGAUGAACUGAGGGUAGCGGAGAAAUUCCAAUCGAACCUGGAGAUAGCUGGUUCUCUCCGAAAUAGCUUUAGGGCUAGCCUCAAGUGAUGAUUAUUGGAGGUAGAGCACUGU
This 397-nucleotide ribosomal RNA is filed under the name Staphylococcus aureus. RNAcentral describes it as "partial 23S ribosomal RNA". It matches the Rfam family "Bacterial large subunit ribosomal RNA", at positions 513 to 913 of the family's 2925-position model. Lineage: Bacteria; Bacillati; Bacillota; Bacilli; Caryophanales; Staphylococcaceae. The record is from RNAcentral.